Molecule: ribosomal RNA, 422 nt
Filed under: uncultured prokaryote
Description: bacterial SSU rRNA
Rfam family: Bacterial small subunit ribosomal RNA
Source: RNAcentral
UGAGGAAUAUUGGACAAUGGAUGGAAAUCUGAUCCAGCCAUGCCGCGUGCCGGAAGAAUGUCCUAUGGAUUGUAGACUGCUUUUGUAUGGAAGCAAUAAGGUCUUCGUGAAGGCCGAUGAGAGUACCAUACGAAUAAGCACCGGCUAACUCCGUGCCAGCAGCCGCGGUAAUACGGAGGGUGCAAGCGUUAUCCGGAUUUAUUGGGUUUAAAGGGUGCGUAGGCGGUUAUAUAAGUCAGCGGUGAAAUUUUUCGGCUCAACCGGAAACAUGCCGUUGAUACUGUAUAGCUUGAAUAUGGUUGCUGUGGGUGGAAUGUGUGGUGUAUCGUUGAAAUGCUUAGAUAUCACACAGAAUAUCGAUUGCGAAUGCAUCUCACAAAGCCAUUAUUGACGCUGAUGCACGAAAGUGUGGGAAUCAAACA